AAUUUUAAUAUUCUCGAUUUUAAAAGAGCUAAAAAAUUAUAUAUUUUAUUGUAAAAUAAAUAUUUAAAAUAAUUUUUUUGUAAUGAAACGUUAUUCGUUUUUAAAUAUAUCUAGUUUCUUAAGAAAAAAAUUUAAUUUUAUAAUUAUAAAUUAAAAUUUUACUUUGUUAAUUUUUUAAUUAUUAAUUGUUAAUAUUUUAAGGGAUAAGCUUUAAAAUAAAAUAUUAAAAAUUAAUGUUUAUUAUAGAAAAGUUGUAGGAUUAGAAAUUUUCAUCAAAUUUAGUUUGUUAUAAUUAAUUUUUUAUAAGAUAAUAUUUAUAUAUAUAUUUUAAUUUUUUUAUUAAGAUUAUUAAUUUAAUUUAAAAUUUAAUGUAAUAAUGAUAAGAUUAGUAUAAUUUUUUGUAAGAUUAAGUUAUUUUAUAAAGGUUAAAUUAAGGAAUUCGGCAAUUAAUUUUCUCGCCUGUUUAUUAAAAACAUGUCUUUUUGAAUAUAAUUUAAAGUCUAACCUGCCCAAUGAAUUAUUUGAAUGGCCGCGGUAUUUUGACCGUGCUAAGGUAGCAUAAUAAUUAGUUUUUUAAUUGAAAACUGGUAUGAAUGGUUGAACGAGGAAAAAACUGUCUCAAUUUAAAUUUUAUUAGAAUUUUAUUUUUAAGUAAAAAAGCUUAAAUAUAUUUAAAAGACGAGAAGACCCUAUAGAGUUUUAUAUUUUGUUUAAAGUUAAAUUAUUAUAUUUUUUUUUUAAUUUUAUUUAAAAUAUUUUAUUGGGGUGAUAAAAAAAUUAAUUAAACUUUUUUUAUAUAAUAUCAUUAAUUUAUGAGUAAGUGAUCCAUUAUUUAUGAUUAUAAGAUUAAAUUACCUUAGGGAUAACAGCGUAAUUUUUUUAGAGAGUUCAUAUCGAAAAAAGAGAUUGCGACCUCGAUGUUGGAUUAAAAUUAACUUUUGGUGUAGGAGCUAAAACGUUUGGUCUGUUCGACCAUUAAAA
This 981-nucleotide ribosomal RNA is filed under the name Trox uenoi. RNAcentral's name for it is "partial 16S ribosomal RNA". The record is from RNAcentral. Lineage: Eukaryota; Metazoa; Arthropoda; Insecta; Coleoptera; Trogidae.